GUGUUAUAUAAAUGGAGAGAAGGUUAGCACCCCCUUGAUAACAAUGGAGACUUUAUAUAUCAUCUAAUGCAAUUUCUAGAAAUAAAUUUU
Molecule: small nuclear RNA, 90 nt
Organism: Sarcophilus harrisii (Tasmanian devil)
Lineage: Eukaryota; Metazoa; Chordata; Mammalia; Dasyuromorphia; Dasyuridae
Source: Ensembl